Molecule: unclassified non-coding RNA, 381 nt
Filed under: uncultured Armatimonadota bacterium
Lineage: Bacteria; Bacillati; Armatimonadota
Description: uncultured Armatimonadetes bacterium contains 16S-23S intergenic spacer region
Source: RNAcentral
UCCGGCUUACACCGGCGGUCUCCUGUGAGUGCCCGACUUUACUCGCUGGUAACACAGAACGAGGGUUGCGCUCGUUGGCGGACUUAACCGUACACCUCACGGCACGAGCUGACGACAGCCAUGCAACAUCUGUUUUCAGGUCUCCUUGUGGGAGAGGGCUCUAUCUCUAGAGCUUUCCUUCAAUGUCAAGAGUGGGUAAGGUUCUUCGGUUAGUAUCGAAUUAAUCCACAUGCUCCACCGCUUGUGCGGGUCCCCGUCAAUUCAUUUGAGUUUCAACCUUGCGGCCGUACUCCCCAGGCGGGAUACUUAAUGCGUUAGCUGCGGCACAGGAGGGGUCGAUACCUCCUACGCCUAGUAUCCAUCGUUUAGGGCGUGGACUAC